RNAcentral lists this ribosomal RNA (211 nucleotides) under Vibrio cholerae. RNAcentral's name for it is "partial 23S ribosomal RNA". It matches the Rfam family "Bacterial large subunit ribosomal RNA", at positions 1007 to 1219 of the family's 2925-position model. RNAcentral also lists the same sequence under 1 other name. The record is from RNAcentral. Lineage: Bacteria; Pseudomonadati; Pseudomonadota; Gammaproteobacteria; Vibrionales; Vibrionaceae.
GUCGUGGAGAGGGAAACAACCCAGACCGCCAGCUAAGGUCCCAAAGUAUUGCUAAGUGGGAAACGAUGUGGGAAGGCUCAGACAGCUAGGAUGUUGGCUUAGAAGCAGCCAUCAUUUAAAGAAAGCGUAAUAGCUCACUAGUCGAGUCGGCCUGCGCGGAAGAUGUAACGGGGCUAAGCAAUACACCGAAGCUGCGGCAAUGUCUUUUAGA